CCGGUCGUUCUACCGUUGACUGUUGCCAUUAAGCCCCCACCAGCAGCCUGAAGACAAAAACUAACCACAUCUCCAAACACAAAAAAACUAGUCCCAAAACGAGAGGAAACGAUCAUAAGGGAUUCACACCUCAUAACAUGCAGUAGCCUACCAAACAGCAUAUAAAUAGUUGCGGCAUACAAGGCAGGCGCAAUUAACAGCAGCACUGCUUGUAUGACGUACGGCGCUAUCUCCUUUGUGUUAGACGAUGAUACUGCUCUUGCAAUGUAGCCCACAAUUUCCAUUAUGCAACCAAAGAAUAAUGGGAUGAAGGCAGAAAACGUCGACCUUACUGUCAGUUUCUUAUAAUUCUCCCCCAAACUAAUGGCUGUGAUAGACUCGCACUUAUCAACAGGAGUAUCAAAGGGAUUGUCGACUUCUGGCUUAGAAGCCUUUCUUGCAUCCCAUACUACCUGGAAAGAGUAUAUUAGUGUUGUAACUAUGAAAAGAACAGUUAGUGCUAUUGCAGCUCCCUUACUAGGUGUGUAUCGAUAAAGCUCCCAUUCAGAGCCACUAGAGUCAUUUGACAUUGUCGAAAAUAUACUCGAUUUCCAAUUGCUUACUUGAGAUAUCAGGUGUUACAUCAUCCGCCAAUUAAUGAAGCACACAUUUUAUUUCAUCCUUUUAUAAAAUUUUAAAGAAUCGUUUUCUUUUAUUUUUUUUGGUUAUAUAAUCUAUAAUUGAAAAAUUACAAACCAUCAAAGCUUGUUAACACUACUAUCUAAUGAUGACGUGCACAUGGA
Molecule: long non-coding RNA, 782 nt
Filed under: Drosophila guanche
Lineage: Eukaryota; Metazoa; Arthropoda; Insecta; Diptera; Drosophilidae
Source: RNAcentral